This 1398-nucleotide long non-coding RNA is filed under the name Phascolarctos cinereus (koala). RNAcentral's name for it is "lncRNA (ENSPCIG00000032457.1)". The record is from RNAcentral. Lineage: Eukaryota; Metazoa; Chordata; Mammalia; Diprotodontia; Phascolarctidae.
AUGUCAGACAAUAGAUCAUGUUACUGAGAAAACCCUCAGACUCUGCAGUGAUGAGGACAGAUAUAUACACCUAUGCCCCAUUGAAACAUGCCACCCUGAACACCCAGCAGACUUAGGUCAGGCCUAGCAGCCCCCAUCCCCCCUCUUAGAACCACCCAGGUCCCUGAUAGAUGUGCUGACCUAUUCCUUCUUCCUCCUCUCAGCUGCUGUCCUUAGCACCUGGAUCCAGUUGGCAUCUCCUCAAUUUCUAAAAUGAAAGUGGAGCUCAGACCGCCCUAUGGCAUGGUGGGGGGCAACAUCACCUUAUCCAUCCUGGGGCUCUCAAAGGAACCUCGAAGGUACACUUGGUUCAAAAAGACAACAGAUGGGUCCAACAGGAUUGUGACCUACAAUGUUCAGACAGGACAGCAGACACCAGCCAAUGGUCGAGUGAUUGUAUUCCCCAAUGGCACUCUGCUCAUCACCAACCUCACCCUCGUGACAGUGAUGAGUACAUAGUGGAGAUUUUUUCUACAGUUGAUGGUCUGGGAAACUAUCAGUUAUCUCUUCUAGGGGUACAUCUGGAAGUCUAUGAUUCAAAUUCCGGAGGAGGGGUGGUCGCUGGCAUUGUGAUUGGAGUCCUGGCUGGGGUGGCUCUCAUUGGGGCCCUCAUCUAUUUCCUGUACAUCAGAAAGACUGGAAGAGCCUCACAAGGGCUACUGGGAGACCCUGGACCAGGAGGGAAAACUCAACCAGCUCAGAAGCCUAGAAAACUUCAUUGACAACUGAUAGUUUCACAUCUCCGCUUGUUAAGUCUUUGAUGAUCAAGAGAGUUUCAAAGAUCUUUUAGUCUCCUCAUCAUGAUGAUUGAUUUACAUUGGUUAAACUUUCUUAGGAUUUGAAGACUCAUUGUGGUAAUGUCUGUUCCUUUAUGUACUUCCAUGUUUCAGCCCCAAUAGUUACUUUAAAUAGGCCAGGCUAUAGUUAACUUUCUUGCUCACCAUUUCUUCUUAGGUGGCGUAGUAGGUAGAAUACCAGAGUUGUAAUCAGAAAGACUUGAGUUUAAAUCAGACACUAUCUGUGUGACCCUGGACAAGUCACUCAGCUUCAUCUCUAAAAUGAAAAUUACAAGGACCAAAUUAUUAGUUUUACGUGCUUCUCAUCUGUAAAAUGGGUAUUAUAAUAGCACCCCUCAUUAGGAUUCCUGUGAGGAUCAAAUGAGUUCAUAUUUGCAAAGUGCUCUGCAAACCUUAAAGCACUUAUACAAAUGUUAGCUAAUAUUUAUUCUACUUUGGUAAUGAUUUUGCAUUUAAGAAGCUGGUGGUCUAACUGUCCACAGGCAGAGGAUCUCACAUUGGAUACUGGUCAUUUCUUUUCUGUUAGAAUAAAAAAAAAUUGCUGGAUGAUAUUAUUUGGUUC